GACAACAUGCCAGAGUGGUUAAUGGGUAUGAUUCGAAAUCAUAUGGUUUCGGCCGCGGAGGUUCGAGUCCUCCUGUUGUCG
RNAcentral lists this transfer RNA (81 nucleotides) under Grosmannia clavigera kw1407. RNAcentral describes it as "tRNA-Ser (CGA) (tRNA-Ser-CGA-3-1)". It matches the Rfam family "tRNA". Rfam says of the family: Transfer RNA (tRNA) molecules are approximately 80 nucleotides in length. Their secondary structure includes four short double-helical elements and three loops (D, anti-codon, and T loops). The record is from RNAcentral. Lineage: Eukaryota; Fungi; Ascomycota; Sordariomycetes; Ophiostomatales; Ophiostomataceae.